Long non-coding RNA from Cucurbita maxima (winter squash), 1022 nucleotides. RefSeq lists it as uncharacterized. The record is from RefSeq and is a predicted model, not a curated record. The transcript is spliced from 2 exons. NCBI's taxonomy places the organism in Eukaryota, Viridiplantae, Streptophyta, Magnoliopsida, Cucurbitales, Cucurbitaceae.
UUGUAACUUGUUAUCUGAGGCAUAUGAUAAAGUCAUUUGUACUCAACAUUAAAUACAGAUAAGGGAGAGACAAGGCUGAAGUUAGAGAGGUGGAUGUAUUACUUCCUUUCUUCCCAUUCUCUUCGAUUCCACAUGGGGUUUUAUUUGGCAGCGUUGAGGUUUCUUGUCCAUUCCAAGACUUAAUACUUUAUUUUGAGGUUUCAAGGGAAUGUCUCAUUAUGAGAUGUAUUUGCACAGAUGAAAUGAUCCAUGGUUGAAUUAGAAACAAUUUUACUGACAGAUCAAUCAUAUAACUCUGCUGGACUGAUUAUAUCUCUGUUCUUGUUUAGAAUCUGAAAGUUUGAAUGAAUCUGCUCUGCUAGAUGAAAUCUGUGUGUUUUGAACUGAAUUGAUUCAUUCCUGAGUAACCCAAAUGGUUAUACAGAUCAGAAUUCCACUUCCCUUCUCUACAAGGAACUGGAUAAGCCACAGCAUGUGGGUGAUGACCAAGUCACCAGCUCGUGAGCUGAAGGACAGAUGUUGGAAUGCUGGCAAACAAACAAGUGGCCAUGAUUUUGCAUUCAGAAUCUGCCUAACACGUGUACAGAGCCCACACCCAGCUGUGCCUCUGUUCUGAGUUCUUAUAUAAACAAACCUCCAAACCAUUCACAAACUCAUCUCUUUUAGUAUUGAAUUUAUGGGUUCCUCUUGCCAUCAGAAUGUGCCUGCUUUGAAGAGGAAGAGGAGAGAAGCGCGCCAGGCUCGCCGGAAAGUGCAGAAGCUCCGGUGGGUGGUGCCCGGUGGGAGAGGGCUGCAACAGGAACAUCUCUUCGUCAAAACGGCUCAUUAUAUACUGCAUUUGAGAUUGAAAGUCUGUGCCCUUCAAACCAUCCUCAAAUUGCAGGAUGAGGCUUGAGAAAUGUAUGAUAUGAUGUGAUAUUCUCAUCAGCUAUUGGUCGUCACGUUGGGGAGUGUUUAAUGUAUAUUUAUAUGGGUUUGGUAUAUUAUAUUUAUAAAUCAUAAAAUUAGUUGUGAGAUUUUAA